AAAAGACUUAGUCCUAACCUUACUGUUAGUUUUUGCUAGGUAUAUACAUGCAAGUAUCCGCGCGCCAGUGUAGACGCCCUGGACACCUUAAUCAGGUAGAUAGGAGCGGGUAUCAGGCU
Molecule: ribosomal RNA, 119 nt
Filed under: Loxops coccineus coccineus
Lineage: Eukaryota; Metazoa; Chordata; Aves; Passeriformes; Fringillidae
Description: partial 12S ribosomal RNA
Source: RNAcentral